This 253-nucleotide ribosomal RNA is filed under the name uncultured bacterium. Its description in RNAcentral is "partial 16S ribosomal RNA". It matches the Rfam family "Bacterial small subunit ribosomal RNA", at positions 524 to 776 of the family's 1533-position model. The record is from RNAcentral.
UACGUAGGGGGCUAGCGUUGUCCGGAAUCAUUGGGCGUAAAGCGCGUGUAGGCGGCCCGGUAAGUCCGCUGUGAAAGUCGGGGGCUCAACCCUCGAAAGCCGGUGGAUACUGUCGGGCUCGAGUGCGGAAGAGGCGAGUGGAAUUCCUGGUGUAGCGGUGAAAUGCGCAGAUAUCAGGAGGAGCACCGAUUGCGAAGGCAGCUCGCUGGGACGUUACUGACGCUGAGACGCGAAAGCGUGGGGAGCAAACAGG